Molecule: long non-coding RNA, 1199 nt
Filed under: Drosophila guanche
Lineage: Eukaryota; Metazoa; Arthropoda; Insecta; Diptera; Drosophilidae
Source: RNAcentral
UCUUUGGAGGGCUAGAGUUUGAUAUCCAGUGCUACAUAUAUUGUUUUAUAAUGGAAACUCCUAUAGAGAAUGCUUUGUGGGAGAAAAAAUUCGAUUAUCUUGGAAUUUUAAGCUGUUUUAAUUGGUGAUACGACUUUUUUCUUGUACUGAUAAACAUAUUCCCAUAUUUUUUUUUGAUUCUAUCAUUUUGAGAAAACAAUUUAAAACCAGAUUUUUCCUUAAAAAAAGGGGCGCCCAUUUUUUCAAAAAACCUUCUUCUUGCUAUUUUUAACUAAUAUCAAAAGACUAAAUGAAAAAAUCUUGAUUCGUUUGCGAGUUAUUAAUUUAGGACAACAAAAGUGUUCAUUGCGACCAUAGUGCAUGCGGGUGUAGGGAGUGUGUGUGUGCAUGGCGAGGUGCCGAUGAAGAUCCGGUCUCUUCCUCUGGACAUGUCCGCCGUUUUAUCGUUGGUUGCAGCUCCCUGCAGUGCUCCUCCAGCAAUGCUCCGGCCGGGCCAGUCUUGGCGCUGACCCAGCUGUCGGAUCCCUGCUUGGUGUCCGCUGCCGCCGUCUCCUCCUUCCCGCGCCGUCUUUGCCUCGUUUAAACGAUUGUGUGUUCGUGUUGUCUCUGCACUUAUUUUUAUUUAUUUUUUUGUUUUAGCGGUUGCCGACGAUUUGCAUGCUCUUCGCUCUUCCCGGAAACUGACCCUCGCAAUCUAACCUUCACGGCCACGCUUCCUUCUCCCACCUUGCCACCUUGCUCCAUCCCUAUAACCCUGUUACAGGAGCGCCGGACCUCUCAAAAGAUCACUUCGCAAUCCGUAAAGGUGAAUAAAAACGAUGAGACACAGGCCCCGCUGCCAUGGGAUUGGGAGUGGUUAUAAUUUCUGGCCAGAAACACCGUGACGAUGGGUAUCAUCACAAGUAUUGCCCCACAGAGGAAGAUAACUUUCUUCUUAGUGAACAUUUGGGGCACCGGAGGCUUCUUUAUAGCCUCUGCAGCGUCCUUUAUUCGCUUGUCAUGGCAGCAGUUACAGCAUCGUAACUCGUUGACUAAUUCUAGCGUGUUGCUGCGGCGGUUAUCCCUAGCUCUGGACAUGGUCUGGAACAGUCCGUCGAAUAGCUUUUGCACCUCGCACAUGAGUGUUUGUAGCUCUUUUUUUAAGAAUUUAAUUUCAAAAAAUUUCAGAAAAUUUCAGAAACUGAGUAUAAAUCCAAAUC